UGCGGGAUAGUUUCUGCUGGUAGAAAUGCAUGGCUUUGACCCAUGAGUUCGCAGGUUCGAAUCCUGCUCCCGCAA
Molecule: transfer RNA, 75 nt
Filed under: Planctomycetaceae bacterium
Lineage: Bacteria; Pseudomonadati; Planctomycetota; Planctomycetia; Planctomycetales; Planctomycetaceae
Description: tRNA-Gln
Rfam family: tRNA
About the family: Transfer RNA (tRNA) molecules are approximately 80 nucleotides in length. Their secondary structure includes four short double-helical elements and three loops (D, anti-codon, and T loops).
Source: RNAcentral